This 1137-nucleotide long non-coding RNA is filed under the name Triticum aestivum (bread wheat). Its description in RNAcentral is "long non-coding RNA (TAES_LNC004134)". The record is from RNAcentral. Lineage: Eukaryota; Viridiplantae; Streptophyta; Magnoliopsida; Poales; Poaceae.
GGGCAAGCAUAAUACAUGAACCAUGCAUAAGGUCUUAACAUACACCGGGUCUAAACAUCAACUUGCAUCAUCUCUUACUACUACAUAGAUCAGCUUGCAGGCUCUUCCACUUCUUCAAUCCAUUUUGCACUUCUUUGUACUUCCAUCUGUUAAACAAUGCAGGUAUCAAGUAAGAACUAACUAUAUAACUCUCGCAAAAAAAAAAACUAACUAUAUAAGUUUUAUCUAUUUUCUUUGUAAUGUUUUAUCUAUUUCUCUUUAUUUUGCCAUGUACAAGUAAUACCAAGUUAAAGAAAAUUGCCGUAUUUUCUAGAAUAACAUGGCAAAAACAUUGUACAACAAAUCAAAAAAGGAUCUUCAGUGUGUACAUUAUAUGCAAAAAAUAGACAUAACUUUGCCAUGUUUAAAAAAAUCUAUAAUGAAAUUGUCAUGUGACAAAUUCCCACGAUUUUGUAAAAUAGAUGUAAAAUUGCCAUGUGAAAGAAGUAUAAAACAUUCCAAAAAUUGCCAUGGUCUAAAUAUACAAAUAACAACACAUGUCAAAUAUAGGAUUUUUUUUACCAUUAAAAAACAUGAAAUGUUUUUCAAGUUUUUUAAUUGACACGUGAAAAAAUUAGAAGAUUUGAUCUUUAACAUAGAUGGCAAAUGUAGCAAAUUGCCAGGGGCACAUGGCAAAUGUAGGACAUUUGUUCUUUGAAAAGAGCUGAAAAAAUAGUAAUUUGACAAAAUUAGGAGAAUUGUCAUGUGUUUCUCAUUCUGAGCAAGUACUUAUGCAUGCUUGCUAUGUGUUUGUUAGGGCCACAUGGCAAAAUUCAGUACAUUAACAAUAUUAAUAAUAUAAAAAUGACGAAAAUUCAACGCUUUCUUUCUAAGUACACUAACAUUGGGGACUACUAAACCCUAUGCACAAAUUUUCUACAUAAGAUGUCUAUGAAAGACUAUCUAACUAGAUUAACAUUGAGGCUUGGAGAUUGGAUAUACCUCUACUGCACCUCGGUGGAGCGUGCAUUCCUCGGAGAGCGGCGGGAGAAGGGGGGGAGAGCGAUGAGGUAGGGCCACCUCCUUUGCAUGCAGCCUCCUCCUAUGCAGAUUGAAUGACGAGGCAGCAGGGAGAGCGAUGACGCAUGUCGCUUCGCC